Molecule: transfer RNA, 77 nt
Filed under: Lentilactobacillus hilgardii
Lineage: Bacteria; Bacillati; Bacillota; Bacilli; Lactobacillales; Lactobacillaceae
Description: Lactobacillus hilgardii tRNA-Val
Rfam family: tRNA
About the family: Transfer RNA (tRNA) molecules are approximately 80 nucleotides in length. Their secondary structure includes four short double-helical elements and three loops (D, anti-codon, and T loops). Further hydrogen bonds mediate the characteristic L-shaped molecular structure. tRNAs have two regions of fundamental functional importance: the anti-codon, which is responsible for specific mRNA codon recognition, and the 3' end, to which the tRNAs corresponding amino acid is attached (by aminoacyl-tRNA synthetases). tRNAs cope with the degeneracy of the genetic code in two manners: having more than one tRNA (with a specific anti-codon) for a particular amino acid; and 'wobble' base-pairing, i.e. permitting non-standard base-pairing at the 3rd anti-codon position.
Source: RNAcentral
UGGAGGAUUAGCUCAGCUGGGAGAGCAUCUGCCUUACAAGCAGGAGGUCACAGGUUCGAUCCCUGUAUCCUCCAUCC